CGUGUAGGCGGGAAGGCAAGUCAGAUGUGAAAACUAUGGGCUCAACCCAUAGCCUGCAUUUGAAACUGUUUUUCUUGAGUACUGGAGAGGCAGGCGGAAUUCCGUGUGCAGCAGUGAAAUGCGUAGAUAUACGGAGGAACACCAGUGGCGAAGGCGGCCUGCUGGACAGAAACUGACGCUGAGGCGCGAAAGCGUGGGAGCAAACA
Molecule: ribosomal RNA, 206 nt
Filed under: uncultured bacterium
Lineage: Bacteria
Description: partial 16S ribosomal RNA
Rfam family: Bacterial small subunit ribosomal RNA
Source: RNAcentral